AGUCUGAGAUUUCUUUUCUCCCUCUCUACCUCUUCUCUCAACAUCACAGCAUCCAUCUUUUCUAGGUAUUUGAUAGCUUGUGUCUAUAUUCUCUACUAUGGAAAAAUAGACUUCAAGAGGAUAUUCCACGUGCUGUUGAUAUUAUUUGAAAAUCAUAUUGGUAAGACUUCUGUCAGUAGGAUCUCAUUCUUUAAUUGCUAUUUUAUUUAUUUGACCUAUUACUUCCAAAUUGUCUUCUCUAUCAGCAGCCAAGUUGGUGCUGAUAAAUACAAAGGGAAAUGUUUUUCUUUCUCCUAGAUCUUUUUAUAAACCAAGGGGGCUCUUUAAAGUUACUUCUAUACUUUUCAGUCUGGUUAAUUAAUGAAUGAAAGAAGGAAACACCACAAGUAAUCUGGUUUUGCUUUGUGGCAUAGACCCAAGUGUUUUUCAGCCAGACCUAGUAAAAUGAGGUCUUGUUGAUAAAGGUUUGAAUUGGAACUACUAAAAAAUAAGAUCUAAUAUUUUAGUGAGUUGUUAGUAUGUGCAUAGCAUUGUACUGUAAUGAUUUUCAAGCAUUAUCAGAUAUAAUCCUCAGAGUAUCCCUGUGAGAUAGGUACUGUAAUUAUUUUACUUUUAUAGAUGAGGUAAACUAGUCUGGAGAUUAAGUAAUCUACCCAAAUUUACCCAUGUUGUAGGUGGAAAUCUAGGAGUCUGAGUGUAUCCAACAUCAAAAAAUGUUUAUUUAAUCAAAUCACCUCUUGGAAAUAAUGUUAUGUGUUUCUCCUAAGGAAUUGUUAUGCUUCCUUCACUUGCUUAGUUUUUUAUUUUAAACUAUAUUUGUUCUAUGGCAUAUGCAUAUAUCUACUUUCUGUGUAUAUCUAAACCAUACAUAAUUAGCUCAUAUAUAUUUGCAUUUUAAUUACGUUUCUUAUAUGGAGAAAUUUACUGAAAAAAUUGAAAUAAUAAACAUUAGGCACGAUGACAUUUCUAAAUACUUGAUUUGUAAAUCAUUUAGAAAAUACUCAAUAUCUAUUACAUGCCAAACGUGUCCUGAGUACCAGUUAUGCACUGGGGAAUAAGACAGAUAUUGAUAUUCAUACUCUCAUGGGGCUCACAGUCAUGGCACUCUUUCAAUAUUGAGUAUAUUAAGAGUUCUGCUUUGUGAGUCUUGUAUGAUUCUUAAAUGUAAAUACUUUACAGUUUAUGACUUACUAUUUGAUUUAUACCUCACUCUUAGAAAUAAUAUGAUGGUUUGCAAUAAAAGUAAUCAAUAAAAAACCCCUCAAAUAUCCAGUUAAUAGAAGAACACAAGCCAUAUAAUGGGUCUGGUAGGGGAACAAUUAAGCAGAAAACUCAGACUCAAGUCAAUUGCUAUAGUUUAUUAAAAAUUUAGGUCUCAGCCUCCUGCCAGAUAAGGAAUGUAUUUGUACAAGAAGAUUGCUGUUUCCCUAGGCUUUGGAGAUCAUUCAAUAUUGCAUUAAUUGAACCUUAAGUGUAAUACGCUCUGUUAUGUAUUGUGCACAGAGCAUAGACUUUGUAGGACAGACCCUUUAAUCCCCAAUUCCUUUACUAGCUAUGGAACUUUGUGCUAAUUUAACCUGUCUAUAUGGCUACUACAUAGAGUAGAGUAGAUGAAAUGAGAAUUGUGUAUAUUGCCCAGCAUAGCUCCUCAUGUGAAGUAGGUUUCCUCCAUUUGGUUAUUAAACAUGUAGAUGGC
Molecule: long non-coding RNA, 1696 nt
Filed under: Canis lupus familiaris (dog)
Lineage: Eukaryota; Metazoa; Chordata; Mammalia; Carnivora; Canidae
Description: lncRNA (ENSCAFG00000056767.1, ENSCAFG00845016461.1)
Source: RNAcentral